GGUGAAAAGAACCCCGGGAGGGGAGUGAAAUAGAUCCUGAAAUUUAGUGCCUACAAGGAGUCGGAGCCGGCUUGUCCGGUGACGGCGUGCUUUUUGUAGAACGAUCCAGCGAGUUAAUUUCGUGCGCAAGGUUAAGCCAGUUGGCGGAGCCACAGUGAAAGCGAGCCUGAAUAGGGCGAUUAAGUGUACGGGAUUAGACCCGAAACCGGGUGACCUAACCAUGAGCAGGUUGAAGCCACUGUAACAGGUGGUGGAGGACCGAACCAGGAUACGCAGCAAAGUGUUUGGAUGACUUGUGGUUAGCGGUGAAAUGCCAAUCGAACUCGGAGAUAGCUGGUUCUCCUCGAAACAGUUUUAGGACUGGCGUCAUGUGGUAGCAGUCGGGGGUAGAGCUCUGUAAAGGACUGGGGGGAGCAAUCCUACCCACCCUUAACAAACUACGAAUACCGACUGUGGAAUCAUGGCAGUUAGAACGGCGGAGCUAAGUUCGUCGCUCAAAAGGGAAACAGCCCAGACCAUCGUCUAAGGUCCCUAAAUUUACGUUAAGUGGGAAACAAGGUGAGAUUUCUUAAACAGCUAGGAUGUUGGCUUAGAAGCAGCCAUUCAUUUAAAGAGUGCGUAACAGCUCACUAGUCAAGAGAUCUUGCGUGGAAAAUGUAACGGGGCUAAACGUAAUACCGAAGACAUGGGUCUAUGCAUUAGCAUGGGCGGUAGAGGAGCGUUCCUAUCGGCAGUGAAGCAGCAUUGUAAAGUGCUGUGGAGCGGUAGGAAGUGAGAAUGCUGGAAUGAGUAACCAUAAGAGAGGUGAGAAUCCUCUCGGCCGUAAGAGCAAGGUUUCCUGAGCUAUGGUAAUCAUCUCAGGGUUAGUCGGGCCUAAGCCGAGGCGCAUAGCGUAGGCGAUGGACAUCAGGUUGAUAUUCCUGAACCGGCGUAGUUUGUACACUGUUCACGGAGAGAUAUUCAGAGCGGAUUCAUGGUUUAUCCGUCCAACCUAGCGGGAACGCAAAGGGAGUGAAAGUUACUCUGCGGAGUGAUGAUUCUGGAAAAGGCUCUGGCUAGAAAAGCAGGUGUACGCGUGACUAUGUCCGCCCGUACCGCAAACCAACACAGGUGCUCGAGUCGAGUAGACUCAGGCUUACGAGAGAACCUUCGCUAAGGAACUCGGCAAUACAGCGACCGUAACUUCGGAAUAAGGUCUGCCCCCACUUCGGUGGAUAUGUUGUCGGUUUCAAAGCUAGCAGGUGUGGUUGAAGAGUAUCUUUAAUACAUCAAUUCUUCUUGAGAUAGAACCAAUAGCUUUUGGAACUGAAGCUCAACGCAUCUAGCGAUGUGGGGGCCGCAGCAAAAGAGCCCACGGAACUGUUUACCAAAAACACAGCUCUCUGCUAACACGAAAGUGGAUGUAUAGGGGGUGACUCCUGCCCGGUGCUGGAAGGUUAAGGGGAGUGCUUCACGGUACGAACUGAAGCCCCAGUGAACGGCGGCGGUAACUAUAACCGUCCUAAGGUAGCGAAAUUCCUUGUCAGGUAAGUUCUGACCCGCACGAAUGGAGUAAUCAUGUGGGCACUGUCUCAGCGAAGGACUCGGUGAAAGUGCAUUGGCGGUAAAGAUGCCGUCUGUCCAUACCAGGACGAGAAGACCCCAUGGAGCUUUACUACAGCUUUACAUUGAUCCAGGUUUCAGCAUGUGUAGCAU
This 1695-nucleotide ribosomal RNA is filed under the name human gut metagenome. RNAcentral's name for it is "bacterial LSU rRNA". It matches the Rfam family "Bacterial large subunit ribosomal RNA", at positions 513 to 2144 of the family's 2925-position model. The record is from RNAcentral.